AUCACUUCUCGGCCUUUUGGCUAAGAUCAAGUGUAGUAAAGUGAUGAAAAAUAAAUAUUUUAUAAAUAAAAGAAUAAACAGAAGUGAAUCAAUAGUCUCCAUCCUUUUCUUUGAUGCAAGAUCUUCCAACCCACCAUGUUUAGUUAACCACCA
RNAcentral lists this small nuclear RNA (153 nucleotides) under Marmota monax (woodchuck). Its description in RNAcentral is "U2 spliceosomal RNA". It matches the Rfam family "U2 spliceosomal RNA". From Rfam's summary of the family: U2 is a small nuclear RNA (snRNA) component of the spliceosome (involved in pre-mRNA splicing). Lineage: Eukaryota; Metazoa; Chordata; Mammalia; Rodentia; Sciuridae. The record is from Rfam by way of RNAcentral.